This 270-nucleotide ribosomal RNA is filed under the name uncultured Eubacteriales bacterium. RNAcentral's name for it is "uncultured Clostridiales bacterium partial 16S ribosomal RNA". It matches the Rfam family "Bacterial small subunit ribosomal RNA", at positions 68 to 339 of the family's 1533-position model. The record is from RNAcentral. Lineage: Bacteria; Bacillati; Bacillota; Clostridia; Eubacteriales.
UGAGUAGCUUGCUAUGAGCUGUUUUAGCGGCGGACGGGUGAGUAACGCGUGAGCAACCUUUCCCAGACAGGGGAAUAACACACCGAAAGGUGUACUAAUACCGCAUAAGACCACGGGAUCACAUGGUUCUGAGGUAAAAGAUUUAUCGCUGAAAGAUGGCCUCGCGUCUGAUUAGCUAGUUGGUGAGGUAAUAGCCCACCAAGCCGACGAUCGGUAGCCGACCUGAGAGGGUGAUCGGCCACAUUGGGACUGAGACACGGCCCAAACUCC